CGCGGCCUAUCAGCUUGUUGGUGAGGUAACGGCUCGCCAAGGCAACGACGGGUAGCUGGUCUGAGAGGGCGACCGGCCACACUGGGACUGAGAUACGGCCCAGACUCCUACGGGAGGCAGCAGUGGGGAAUAUUGCACAAUGGGCGCAAGCCUGAUGCAGCAACGCCGCGUGCGGGAUGACGGCCUUCGGGUUGUAAACCGCUUUCAGUAGGGACGAAGCUAACGUGACGGUACCUACAGAAGAAGGACCGGCUAACUACGUGCCAGCAGCCGCGGUGAUACGUAGGGUCCGAGCGUUGUCCGGAAUUAUUGGGCGUAAAGGGCUUGUAGGCGGUCCGUCGCGUCAGGAGUGAAAACUCGGGGCUUAACCCCGAGCCUGCUUUUGAUACGGGCGGACUAGAGGGAUGCAGGGGAGAACGGAAUUCCUGGUGGAGCGGUGGAAUGCGCAGAUAUCAGGAGGAACACCGGUGGCGAAGGCGGUUCUCUGGGCAUCACCUGACGCUGAGAAGCGAAAGCGUGGGGAGCAAACAGGCUUAGAUACCCUGGUAGUCCACGCCGUAAACGGUGGGCACUAGGUGUGGGGGACAUUCCACGUUCUCCGUGCCGAAGCUAACGCAUUAAGUGCCCCGCCUGGGGAGUACGG
RNAcentral lists this ribosomal RNA (643 nucleotides) under uncultured bacterium. RNAcentral's name for it is "bacterial SSU rRNA". It matches the Rfam family "Bacterial small subunit ribosomal RNA", at positions 232 to 885 of the family's 1533-position model. The record is from RNAcentral.